AUUGAACGCUGGCGGCAUGCUUUAUACAUGCAAGUCGUGCGGCAGCGCGGGGGCAACCCAGGCGGCGAGCGGCGAACGGGUGAGUAAUACAUAGGAACGUAUCCUGAAAUGGGGGAUAGCUCGGCGAAAGCCGGAUUAAUACCGCAUACGCUCCACGGAGGAAAGCAGGGGAUCGCAAGACCUUGCGUUUCUGGAGCGGCCUAUGUCUGAUUAGCUAGNGGCGGGUAAUAGCCCACCAAGGCGACGAUCAGUAGCUGGUCUGAGAGGAUGAUCAGCCACACUGGGACUGAGACACGGCCCAGACUCCUACGGGAGGCAGCAGUAGGGAAUUUUGGACAAUGGGCGCAAGCCUGAUCCAGCCAUGCCGCGUGAGUGAAG
RNAcentral lists this ribosomal RNA (378 nucleotides) under uncultured bacterium. RNAcentral describes it as "bacterial SSU rRNA". It matches the Rfam family "Bacterial small subunit ribosomal RNA", at positions 30 to 410 of the family's 1533-position model. The record is from RNAcentral.